This 459-nucleotide ribosomal RNA is filed under the name Bacillus sp. enrichment culture clone A1a. RNAcentral describes it as "bacterial SSU rRNA". It matches the Rfam family "Bacterial small subunit ribosomal RNA", at positions 60 to 512 of the family's 1533-position model. Lineage: Bacteria; Bacillati; Bacillota; Bacilli; Caryophanales; Bacillaceae. The record is from RNAcentral.
ACCCCAGUGAGCGACAGAUGGAGCUUGCUNCCUGAUGUAGCGGCGGACGGUGAGUAACACGUGGUAACCUGCCGUAAGACUGGAUAACUCCGGGAAACCGGGGCUAAUACCGGAUGCUUGUUUGAACCGCAUGGUUCAAACAUAAAAAGGUGGCUUCGGCUACCACUUACAGAUGGACCCCGCGGCGCAUUAGCUAGUUGGUGAGGUAAUGGCUCACCAAGGCAACGAUGCGUAGCCGACCUGAGAGGGUGAUCGGCCACACUGGGACUGAGACACGGCCCAGACUCCUACGGGAGGCAGCAGUAGGGAAUCUUCCGCAAUGGACGAAAGUCUGACGGAGCAACGCCGCGUGAGUGANGAAGGUUUUCGGAUCGAAAGCUCUGUUGUAGGGAAGAACAAGUACCGUCGAAUAGGGCGGACCUGACGGACCNACCAGAAGCCNCGGCAACUACGNCCAGC